UCUUUCUGCAGUUCUCUUACUGCACAUAACUGUGGCAUUGUGGGAAAGUCUUGCUUUUAGCACUAUUGCUUCUUUUCUUGCAUUCUGGGAAGUCUCGCUUCUGCUUCUGCACAUACUGUUCCAAACACACCAAGCCAAACACACCAAGACAUUCUCUCAUUCUUCAGUUCAUUCCAAGUUCAUGAACAAAACAAUAUGGUCUGUUCUUAAUGCAUAGCUGACCACAUCUACGGAACUUGAUUAUUAUAUUCUUUCAUGUUAUGAUCAAUCAUUAGUAAUUGUUUUAGUCAUGUUAUAUUAAUCUUUAGUUAUAAUUUAAUUAGGAGGAUUCAUGCCUGUCUAGUUCCAGCUCCGUUUCUCAUCCUUUGAUCUAUCAGUGAUAAAUGGUUGUAUGUAAUUCCCGCCUUGUACCUAUGUUAACCAAUCAGCAACAAGAUGCUUUGUGUUUGUAUCAACCAAUCAGCCACAAGCACACCUGUGGCAAUGUUUGUAAUAUUCAAUAAAAGAGAGUUCCCGGGGCUUGCCCCGGCAGACGCCUCUCAUAUGACACCUGCCACUCGUCUGUCGUGAUUUCAACCCAACA
This is a non-coding RNA of Podarcis lilfordi (Lilford's wall lizard), 583 nucleotides long. Lineage: Eukaryota; Metazoa; Chordata; Lepidosauria; Squamata; Lacertidae. The record is from the annotation of a GenBank genome assembly.